GUAAGGGAAUCUUCCACAAUGGGCGCAAGCCUGAUGGAGCAACACCGCGUGAGUGAAGAAGGGUUUCGGCUCGUAAAGCUCUGUUGUUAAAGAAGAACACGUAUGAGAGUAACUGUUCAUACGUUGACGGUAUUUAACCAGAAAGUCACGGCUAACUACGUGCUAG
RNAcentral lists this ribosomal RNA (166 nucleotides) under uncultured bacterium. Its description in RNAcentral is "partial 16S ribosomal RNA". It matches the Rfam family "Bacterial small subunit ribosomal RNA", at positions 353 to 511 of the family's 1533-position model. The record is from RNAcentral.